This 610-nucleotide ribosomal RNA is filed under the name Glomus sp. MS. RNAcentral's name for it is "SSU rRNA". It matches the Rfam family "Eukaryotic small subunit ribosomal RNA", at positions 644 to 1255 of the family's 1831-position model. The record is from RNAcentral. Lineage: Eukaryota; Fungi; Glomeromycota; Glomeromycetes; Glomerales; Glomeraceae.
GGAUCAGCAGGUUGGUCGUGCCACUGGUAUGCACUGGCUUUGCUGGUUUCUCCUUUCUGAAGAACUGUAAUGCCAUUAAUUUGGUGUUGCAGGGAAACAGGACUGUUACUUUGAAAAAAUUAGAGUGUUUAAAGCAGGCUAACGCUUGAAUACAUUAGCAUGGAAUAAUGAAAUAGGACGUUUGAUCCUAUUUUGUUGGUUUCUAGGAUUGACGUAAUGAUUAAUAGGGAUAGUUGGGGGCAUUAGUAUUCAAUUGUCAGAGGUGAAAUUCUUGGAUUUAUUGAAGACUAACUACUGCGAAAGCAUUUGCCAAGGAUGUUUUCAUUAAUCAAGAACGAAAGUUAGGGGAUCGAAGACGAUCAGAUACCGUCGUAGUCUUAACCAUAAACUAUGCCGACUAGGGAUCGGAUGAUGUUAAUUUUUUAAUGACUCAUUCGGCGCCUUACGGGAAACCAAAGUGUUUGGGUUCCGGGGGGAGUAUGGUCGCAAGGCUGAAACUUAAAGGAAUUGACGGAAGGGCACCACCAGGGGUGGAGCCUGCGGCUUAAUUUGACUCAACACGGGGAAACUCACCAGGUCCAGACAUAGUAAGGAUUGACAGAUUGAGAGC